RNAcentral lists this ribosomal RNA (468 nucleotides) under uncultured bacterium. RNAcentral's name for it is "partial 16S ribosomal RNA". It matches the Rfam family "Bacterial small subunit ribosomal RNA", at positions 28 to 507 of the family's 1533-position model. The record is from RNAcentral.
GACGAACGCUGGCGGCGUGCUUAACACAUGCAAGUCGAACGGAAAGGCCCUGCUUUUGUGGGGUGCUCGAGUGGCGAACGGGUGAGUAACACGCGAGUAUCCUGCCCUUGACUUUGGGAUAACUUCAGGAAACUGGGGCUCAUACCGGAUAGGAGCUCCUGCUGCAUGGUGGGGGUUGGAAAGUUUCGGCGGUUGGGGAUGGACUCGCGGCUUAUCCGCUUGUUGGUGGGGUAGUGGCUUACCAAGGCUUUGAAGGGUAGCCGGCCUGAGAGGGGGACCGGCCACCUUGGGACUGAGAGACGGCGCAGACGCCUACGGGCGGCAGCAGGGGGGAAUAUUGCGGAAUGGGCGGAAGCGUGAUGCAGCAACGCCGGGUGCGGGAUGACGGCCUUCGGGUUGAAAACCGAUUUCGCCUGUGACGAAGCGUGAGUGACGGUAAUGGGUAAAAAAGCACCGGCUAACUACGUG